UACAAGGCAUACGGCUCAGUAACGCGUAGUCAACCUAACCUAUGGACGGGAAUAACCUCGGGAAACUGAGAAUAAUGCCCGAUAGAACAUUAUGCCUGGAAUGGUUUAUGUUCCAAAUGAUUUAUCGCCGUAGGAUGGGACUGCGGCCUAUCAGUUUGUUGGUGAGGUAAUGGCCCACCAAGACUAUUACAGGUACGGGCUCUGAGAGGAGUAGCCCGGAGAUGGGUACUGAGACACGGACCCAGGCCCUAUGGGGCGCAGCAGGCGAGAAAACUUUGCAAUGUGCGAAAGCACGACAAGGUUAAUCCGAGUGGUUUCUGCUAAAGAAACCUUUUGUCAGUCCUAGAAACACUGAUGAAUAAGGGGUGGGCAAGUUCUGGUGUCAGCCGCCGCGGUAAAACCAGCACCUCAAGUGGUCAGGAUGAUUAUUGGGCCUAAAGCAUCCGUAGCCGGCUCUGUAAGUUUUCGGUUAAAUCUGUACGCUCAACGUACAGGCUGCCGGGAAUACUGCAGAGCUAGGGAGUGGGAGAGGUAGACGGUACUCGGUAGGAAGGGGUAAAAUCCUUUGAUCUAUUGAUGACCACCUGUGGCGAAGGCGGUCUACCAGAACACGUCCGACGGUGAGGGAUGAAAGCUGGGGGAGCAAACCGGAUUAGAUACCCGGGUAGUCCCAGCUG
Molecule: ribosomal RNA, 677 nt
Filed under: uncultured crenarchaeote
Lineage: Archaea; Thermoproteati; Thermoproteota
Description: bacterial SSU rRNA
Rfam family: Archaeal small subunit ribosomal RNA
Source: RNAcentral